GGCUCUUGAUUAAAUGCUACUUCCAGCUGUACAUUGCACAAUUGGAUGUUGUAAUUACAUUAAUUAUCUAUGUAUGUUUUGGUAUGAAUAAUAAUGUAUUAAGUAACUAUACUUUGUGCUAUGUUUAGCUUUUUUUCUAGAAAUCUAUCAUGGCCAUGAAAAUUGACACGUUGGUUCCCCUUCAUGUGAAGGUCGUUCCCACGAGGUCACAAGGGUCGCAAGUUGGAUCUUCAUUAAGGAGGAAGACAGUGUGGAGGCCGCUGUACAUUACAGAAAAAAAGUGGUAGCAAUUUCAGACAGCAAAAUCAUUUUCAAAAUUAUAUUCUUUGAGCCACAGGCCGCAAAAAUCAUAGCUGGCAGCAGCUAUGUACUGAAAAAUUAUGGAAUUGGAAGAAAGGACAGACAUGUCCUUUCAAAAUCGAAUCUAAAAAUAUUUAAUACUGUCACAGUGCAGGUGAGUGCAGACCUGGAUGAACCUGUACCCCGAGUCUGUGUCCAAGGAGAUAAAGGCUGUCAUUAAGAUGGGUCAAACGGACAUCCUGGUGACCACCCAAGGACUCAUUUUUAAAAUGCAGCGAAUCCGUGAGGUCCAAAUCAGGGGCACCUGAGGACUUUUUUUUUGAAAGAAGAUGGUGGAGAGGUGAGGCUUGUGCUGUGGAGGGAAGCCAACCUCACGUCCAUCACAGAGGGUCAAGAACUAAGGCUAACGCAUAUGAGGGACAAACUUCCACCUCAGGGCUUCAGCCUGGAGACUUCUGAGUUUUUAGAGAUCGGUGUGUGUUUGCUGGUGGUUUGAAGUGCAGAAAUGAGGUCCCAAACCCCAUGGACCACGCAGGUGAUGCACAGUAUUUACAACAAGCACAUUGUGUGUUGUGGUCAUCUUCAUAAAAAAGAUGUGUUGUGCACCAUGUUGAAGAAGAAAAUCAAAAUGACUUGUGUUUUUAACAAAUGUACACAAAUCCAAACCUUGAACUUUGUUUUUAUUGUUAUUAUCAUAAGCUUUAUUAAAGUACAAUUAUGUAAUUUUUUUUAAUUAACUUUUUUCAUUCAACAACAAGGAAAUUGUGUGUUGUGGUCACCUUCAAACAGAUUUGAUGAGCCACUUACAUAUAGCUUGUCAAGGAAGAAAAUCUAAAUAACUUGUGUUUUUAAGAAAUGCAGAUGAAUUCAAAACUUAAAAUAGUUUUGUCAAGAGAUAUAUGUACUUUAUUUUAUUAUCAUCCCAUAUAACUAUGUUACAACUACUUACUCUUAGAUUAAAUUGUUCUAGUAUCCAUCCAUCCAUUUUCUACCGCUUAUUCCCUUCGGGGUCACGGGGGGCGCUGGAGCCUAUCUCAUCUACAAUCGGGUGUUCUAGUAUAUAUAUGUAUAUA
Nerophis lumbriciformis (worm pipefish) is the source of this 1373-nucleotide long non-coding RNA. RefSeq lists it as uncharacterized. Lineage: Eukaryota; Metazoa; Chordata; Actinopteri; Syngnathiformes; Syngnathidae. The record is from RefSeq and is a predicted model, not a curated record.